CCGGACGUAGCGCAGAGGCAGACGCGCCGACUUGCCAAGUCGUGAACACGUCGGUUCGAAUCCGACCGUCCGGG
Molecule: transfer RNA, 74 nt
Filed under: Streptomyces sp. sk2.1
Lineage: Bacteria; Bacillati; Actinomycetota; Actinomycetes; Kitasatosporales; Streptomycetaceae
Also listed under: 11 other names
Rfam family: tRNA
About the family: Transfer RNA (tRNA) molecules are approximately 80 nucleotides in length. Their secondary structure includes four short double-helical elements and three loops (D, anti-codon, and T loops).
Source: Rfam by way of RNAcentral